Molecule: ribosomal RNA, 239 nt
Filed under: uncultured Candidatus Saccharibacteria bacterium
Lineage: Bacteria; Candidatus Saccharimonadota
Description: partial 16S ribosomal RNA
Rfam family: Bacterial small subunit ribosomal RNA
Source: RNAcentral
AAAGCGAAUAGUGAAAUCUGGCGGCUCAACCGUACAGGCUAUUAUUCGAACUCACUAACUCGAGAAUGGUAGAGGUAACUGGAAUUUCUAGUGUAGGAGUGAAAAUCCGUAGAUAUUAGAAGGAACACCAAUGGCGUAGGCAGGUUACUGGACCAUUUCUGACACUGAGGCACGAAAGCGUGGGGAGCGAACCGGAGUUAGAUAACCCGGGUAGUCCACGCCGUAAACGAUGGAUACUA